ACAGUUUAUGUACCUGCAGGACCUAAAAAUCCAACUUCAUUUUCUGCUCUUUUCUUUUUUUUUUAUUAAAGACUUGCUCUGUCAGAAAGUCAGCUCUGUGGUGGACAAGUGACCCCAUGCCUGAUAAUCAGGCAUAAUAGCUGUCUCAUCCCUCAAGUUCUUGCUUUAUUGAGGUAUAUAUGAUAUUGUGCAGGGAGAAGAAGCUGGUGAAUGACUCUGGUCAUUUCUGGACAUGCAGCCUUUGGCAUGAUUCUGUCAGUUCACUGGGCAAAACCUUGAGUCUUUGUGUGGGUG
Long non-coding RNA from Neopelma chrysocephalum (saffron-crested tyrant-manakin), 294 nucleotides. RefSeq lists it as uncharacterized. The record is from RefSeq and is a predicted model, not a curated record. The transcript is spliced from 3 exons. NCBI's taxonomy places the organism in Eukaryota, Metazoa, Chordata, Aves, Passeriformes, Pipridae.